UUCUUUCAAAAUUAUGAUAUUACAUUGUUAUUGUAAUCUCUAUUUUUAUAUACACUGGUUUUUAUAUGUUUAAAAUGUUUUCAUAUGUCGUACCCAUUCACAUGAGUUUAAAACAUGAGACAUUGCGACUGCAAUUGUAUUUUCAUUUCUACUUUGCAUUUCAAUAUUUUGAGCAUUUGCGCUUCCCGUACUCCAGUCAGAACUAGUCUGCUGGAGAUUUGGGUAUGCAGUCGUCAUCGUCUAAUCUCAGUGGAUUCUUUGUUUUAUUUGUGAAUGCAGGUACGUUGUUUAUACUGUUAAUGAAUCAAUGCUUGUUGUGAAUUCAAUGGAAAAAAACUAUACGAUCACAACGUGUGAAACGUGUGCCAACUCUGUAUGUUGUUUCUUCUGCAUGAUUUUAUGUUUGUUUAAACUGAAUUGAACAAGCUAUGCAUUGUUUUAUCUAUGUUCAGGAAUAGCAUAGACAAUGCUAGCAGUCAGAACUAGUCUGCUGGAGAUUUGGGUAUGCAGUCGUCAUCGUCUAAUCUCAGUGGAUUCUUUGUUUUAUUUGUGAAUGCAGAGAAAUAAAAACAGUGAGAAGAGUU
Long non-coding RNA from Alosa sapidissima (American shad), 584 nucleotides. RefSeq lists it as uncharacterized. The transcript has 2 exons. The record is from RefSeq and is a predicted model, not a curated record. NCBI's taxonomy places the organism in Eukaryota, Metazoa, Chordata, Actinopteri, Clupeiformes, Clupeidae.